RNAcentral lists this ribosomal RNA (379 nucleotides) under uncultured bacterium. Its description in RNAcentral is "bacterial SSU rRNA". It matches the Rfam family "Bacterial small subunit ribosomal RNA", at positions 521 to 896 of the family's 1533-position model. The record is from RNAcentral.
UAAUACAGAGGGUGCAAGCGUUAAUCGGAAUUACUGGGCGUAAAGCGCAUGUAGGUUGUUAUAUAAGUUUGAUGUGAAAGCCCUGGGCUUAACCUGGGAAUUGCGUUGAAUACUGUAUGACUAGAGUCGGAUAGAGGGUAGUGGAAUUUCAGGUGUAGCGGUGAAAUGCGUAGAUAUCUGAAAGAACACCAGUGGCGAAGGCGGCUACCUGGAUCCAGACUGACACUGAGAUGCGAAAGCGUGGGGAGCAAACAGGAUUAGAUACCCUGGUAGUCCACGCUGUAAACGAUGAGAACUGGCUGUGCGAUGGGGUUUUACCUAUUGCGUAGCGAAGCUAACGCGUUAAGUUCUCCGCCUGGGGAGUACGGUCGCAAGAUUA